CACACACACACACACAAAAAGCCCUAUAAAUCGCGCCAUCCGGAUAGAGUGAAUUUGAUUGUGGUUGGAUGAGAAGUGUAAACAUGUAUCAUUCCGACA
This is a long non-coding RNA of Etheostoma cragini (Arkansas darter), 99 nucleotides long. RefSeq lists it as uncharacterized. NCBI's taxonomy places the organism in Eukaryota, Metazoa, Chordata, Actinopteri, Perciformes, Percidae. The transcript is spliced from 3 exons. The record is from RefSeq and is a predicted model, not a curated record.